GGUUAAGCGACUAAGCGUACACGGUGGAUGCCCUGGCAGUCAGAGGCGAUGAAGGACGUGCUAAUCUGCGAUAAGCGUCGGUAAGGUGAUAUGAACCGUUAUAACCGGCGAUUUCCGAAUGGGGAAACCCAGUGUGAUUCGUCACACUAUCAUUAACUGAAUCCAUAGGUUAAUGAGGCGAACCGGGGGAACUGAAACAUCUAAGUACCCCGAGGAAAAGAAAUCAACCGAGAUUCCCCCAGUAGCGGCGAGCGAACGGGGAGCAGCCCAGAGCCUGAAUCAGUGUGUGUGUUAGUGGAAGCGUCUGGAAAGGCGCGCGAUACAGGGUGACAGCCCCGUACACAAAAAUGCACAUGCUGUGAGCUCGAUGAGUAGGGCGGGACACGUGGUAUCCUGUCUGAAUAUGGGGGGACCAUCCUCCAAGGCUAAAUACUCCUGACUGACCGAUAGUGAACCAGUACCGUGAGGGAAAGGCGAAAAGAACCCCGGCGAGGGGAGUGAAAAAGAACCUGAAACCGUGUACGUACAAGCAGUGGGAGCACGCUUAGGCGUGUGACUGCGUACCUUUUGUAUAAUGGGUCAGCGACUUAUAUUCUGUAGCAAGGUUAACCGAAUAGGGGAGCCGAAGGGAAACCGAGUCUUAACUGGGCGUUAAGUUGCAGGGUAUAGACCCGAAACCCGGUGAUCUAGCCAUGGGCAGGUUGAAGGUUGGGUAACACUAACUGGAGGACCGAACCGACUAAUGUUGAAAAAUUAGCGGAUGACUUGUGGCUGGGGGUGAAAGGCCAAUCAAACCGGGAGAUAGCUGGUUCUCCCCGAAAGCUAUUUAGGUAGCGCCUCGUGAAUUCAUCUCCGGGGGUAGAGCACUGUUUCGGCAAGGGGGUCAUCCCGACUUACCAACCCGAUGCAAACUGCGAAUACCGGAGAAUGUUAUCACGGGAGACACACGGCGGGUGCUAACGUCCGUCGUGAAGAGGGAAACAACCCAGACCGCCAGCUAAGGUCCCAAAGUCAUGGUUAAGUGGGAAACGAUGUGGGAAGGCCCAGACAGCCAGGAUGUUGGCUUAGAAGCAGCCAUCAUUUAAAGAAAGCGUAAUAGCUCACUGGUCGAGUCGGCCUGCGCGGAAGAUGUAACGGGGCUAAACCAUGCACCGAAGCUGCGGCAGCGACACUAUGUGUUGUUGGGUAGGGGAGCGUUCUGUAAGCCUGUGAAGGUGUACUGUGAGGUAUGCUGGAGGUAUCAGAAGUGCGAAUGCUGACAUAAGUAACGAUAAAGCGGGUGAAAAGCCCGCUCGCCGGAAGACCAAGGGUUCCUGUCCAACGUUAAUCGGGGCAGGGUGAGUCGACCCCUAAGGCGAGGCCGAAAGGCGUAGUCGAUGGGAAACAGGUUAAUAUUCCUGUACUUGGUGUUACUGCGAAGGGGGGACGGAGAAGGCUAUGUUGGCCGGGCGACGGUUGUCCCGGUUUAAGCGUGUAGGCUGGUUUUCCAGGCAAAUCCGGAAAAUCAAGGCUGAGGCGUGAUGACGAGGCACUACGGUGCUGAAGCAACAAAUGCCCUGCUUCCAGGAAAAGCCUCUAAGCAUCAGGUAACAUCAAAUCGUACCCCAAACCGACACAGGUGGUCAGGUAGAGAAUACCAAGGCGCUUGAGAGAACUCGGGUGAAGGAACUAGGCAAAAUGGUGCCGUAACUUCGGGAGAAGGCACGCUGAUAUGUAGGUGAAGUCCCUCGCGGAUGGAGCUGAAAUCAGUCGAAGAUACCAGCUGGCUGCAACUGUUUAUUAAAAACACAGCACUGUGCAAACACGAAAGUGGACGUAUACGGUGUGACGCCUGCCCGGUGCCGGAAGGUUAAUUGAUGGGGUUAGCGCAAGCGAAGCUCUUGAUCGAAGCCCCGGUAAACGGCGGCCGUAACUAUAACGGUCCUAAGGUAGCGAAAUUCCUUGUCGGGUAAGUUCCGACCUGCACGAAUGGCGUAAUGAUGGCCAGGCUGUCUCCACCCGAGACUCAGUGAAAUUGAACUCGCUGUGAAGAUGCAGUGUACCCGCGGCAAGACGGAAAGACCCCGUGAACCUUUACUAUAGCUUGACACUGAACAUUGAGCCUUGAUGUGUAGGAUAGGUGGGAGGCUUUGAAGUGUGGACGCCAGUCUGCAUGGAGCCG
RNAcentral lists this ribosomal RNA (2161 nucleotides) under Escherichia coli. Its description in RNAcentral is "partial 23S ribosomal RNA". It matches the Rfam family "Bacterial large subunit ribosomal RNA", at positions 1 to 2188 of the family's 2925-position model. The record is from RNAcentral. Lineage: Bacteria; Pseudomonadati; Pseudomonadota; Gammaproteobacteria; Enterobacterales; Enterobacteriaceae.